RNAcentral lists this ribosomal RNA (991 nucleotides) under Setophoma sp. RNAcentral's name for it is "partial large subunit ribosomal RNA". The stretch from base 355 to 991 matches the Rfam family "Eukaryotic large subunit ribosomal RNA", at positions 1 to 932 of the family's 3401-position model. The record is from RNAcentral. Lineage: Eukaryota; Fungi; Ascomycota; Dothideomycetes; Pleosporales; Phaeosphaeriaceae.
CUAGGUUCGGGUCCGGGGGGUAAGGGACUGGUUCCGUUACCAAGGCCUUCCGUAAAAAUCCUUCGUUAGAAUGAAUGGCCGUCCCCCUCCCCCCCGGAGGGGUGGUCCCUUCGCUGGGUCGGAUUCCUUCCCCCCUGAAUUUCGUAGGGCCGAUUAAGUUGGUCUGCCGCUCCUUUUUCUGCGGUACUUCCCCCCAACCGUAAUGACUUGCUUGUUCUUCUACAAAGACGAUGCCGGAGAAGACCACCCUUGUGAUUCUCGUGUGGGUGUGUGUCGUCCCCCCCGUAGGAGGUUCCCCCCCCUCGCGUGUUGUCGUUUUUUUUGGGCGGCACCGCAGUCUAUAACCCGGAGAGCAUAUCUCUUCUUAAAAAAGAAUAACUUGGGCGCCAGAUUUCCAGAUAGCGGCACAAGUAGAGUGAUUGAAAGAUGAAAAGCUCUUUGGAAAGAGAGUCAAAAAGCACGUGAAAUUGUUGAAAGGGAAGCGCUUGCAGCCAGACUUGCAUACAGUUGCUCAUCCGGGACAACGCCCGGUGCACUCUUCUGUUGGCAGGCCAGCAUCAGUCCAGGCGGUCGGAUAAAGGCCUCGGGAAUGUGGCUCUCUUCGGGGAGUGUUAUAGCCCGGGGUGCAAUGCGGCCAGCUUGGACUGAGGUCCGCGCAUCUGCUAGGAUGCUGGCGUAAUGGCUGUAAGCGGCCCGUCUUGAAACACGGACCAAGGAGUCUAACAUCUAUGCGAGUGUUUGGGUGUCAAGCCCGGGCGCGCAAUGAAAGUGAACGGAGGUGGGAACCCCUCGGGGCGCACCAUCGACCGAUCCUGAUGUCUUCGGAUGGAUUUGAGUAAGAGCAUAGCUGUUGGGACCCGAAAGAUGGUGAACUAUGCCUGAAUAGGGUGAAGCCAGAGGAAACUCUGGUGGAGGCUCGCAGCGGUUCUGACAUGCAAAUCGAUCGUCAAAUUUGCCUAGAGGAAGCGCACUUUGGGGCCCGGCCGCCUCC